GGGCUUUCUUGCAAUCCAUCAUCCCAGCUCCAGUUUCUUCUCGCAGCUGUUUAACCAAAGCAGCUGAAACUGCUGCUUUCGGAGCCUCGACAGUAGUCUCCUUGGCUUCAACAGCUGGUUGCUCUUUUCCCGGCGAGGAGACAGGUUUAGCUGCUGUUUGAGCAGCCACCUCUGCAGCAAAGUCUUGGCUCUUCUUUUCAAGACCUUCUCCCAGGUUGUAUCGCACAAAUCUCUUCACUUUGAUGUUUUCACCAAUCGUUGAAAUUGUCUGCUUGAUCAAGUCCUUUACAACCAUCUUAUCAUUUUUGAUGUAAGGCUGCUCCAGUAAUGCCAGAUCUUCAAGCCUCUUAUUUAUCCGC
Molecule: unclassified non-coding RNA, 359 nt
Filed under: Hevea brasiliensis (rubber tree)
Lineage: Eukaryota; Viridiplantae; Streptophyta; Magnoliopsida; Malpighiales; Euphorbiaceae
Source: RNAcentral